UGGCUGCCUUAGGUGUCUAUGAGGGAAUCUUUGGGCUCCGGCGCGCGCCGCCUCAGUUUUUUCUGCGCACGCGCAGGCCGCCGCCGCCACCUCCUUACUCUGCUGCUGUAUGGCAGCCGGCUACCUAGCCGAGGCUUAUUUGACGGGGCGGGAGGGAAGCCGCUCUCAACUCUUUAGGCUUGCCUGGUGUGAAAUAAGUCCCGCAAGCACCCUGGUGCGCCUGCGCCGGAUAGCAGAAGGUUCCUACACCACCACCCCCCGGCCAGUCGGCUUCGCGCGCCUUAGCUCGAAGAUGCGCGUCCGUGUGUCGGGAGCGCGCGAUCCCCUGAAGUCUUGUGGCGGCCAGCCUUGCUUGCUUACUUGCUUGUUAGGCUUAUUCUUUGCUGCCCAGGCAACCGAAACAAAUACGUAUUUCGGGCGCUGAUUCUGGUGUGUGUGUGGAAAGAAUUAUAUACCAAAAGCUUGUAAGAUAUUUUUUAGGGAUACUUAUAUAUCACCUUUAAUUUUUAUUUUUUUUUUAAAAAACAACCACUUAGGGCUUAGGAGAGAGAGAAACCACAUAAACCAGAAUAGGUACCCCAUUAAAAUGUGGAAAUUAAAAAUAUUAAAAUCACAUUUUGCUUAACUAAACACCAGGCUGAAGUGUUAAAAGCACUUCCAGAAAAGCAAUACCUUGCAGGCUACCUCGUUUAUUGUAGAAUUAUUGUCAUUUUUGUACAAAAAAGUAUCAUGUAGCCCUUUCAAUUUAUUUAAAAAAGUCAUAUUUUUAAGUCAUACAUGAAUUUCACAUGAAAUCAAGGUACAGUUUAUUCCAUAUGCCAGAAUCUCCACAUCCAAUUGGAUAUCACAGUCUGUGUCUCUGUUAGAAUUACUUUUAAUAUGUUUUCUUUAAUAUAUUUUAACCCGUUUUUUAAAAAAAGAUGUUUUUAAAGCUUUUUAGAAAAUGUUUUUAACGUUUUGUUUUAAUGUAUUUUAAAGUUUUUUAUGAUGUUUUAAAGUGUUUUUAGUGUUUCUGUUUGCCGCCCUGGGCUCCUGCAGGGAGGAAGGGCAGGAUAUAAAUCAAAUAAUAAAUAAAUAAAUAUCAAGGAUGCUAUAGAGUGGUCACUGAAUUGCUGAUUUGGUGGAGGAUUUCAAAGCAUGCCUCAGACAAGUCUUCAAAUCUUGGUGUCAUCAACAUCUUUCAGCCGUCUUAAUACCUUCUUGAGAAAAAAGGUUCGCUUAUGCCUUGCUGGUUUUGACAAGGACAGGAGUUCUGAAACAGCUGUAUGGGUUCUGCUGGUAUCAAUUACCUAGAGAGGUAGUGGGCUCUCCGACACUGGAGGCAUUCAAGAGGCAUCUGUCGGGAAUGCUUUGAUUUGGAUUCCUGCAUUGCGCAGGGGGCGGGACUUGAUGGCCUUAUAGGCCCCUUCCAAAUCUACUAUUCUACGAUUCUAUGCUUUCAAAAGAGUGAAGAAGCAUAAGUAAGAGAAAUAAAAAUUAAUCUCAUACAAAACAAAUAAUUUCACAGAUAGUGUGAAGGCCUGUGCACACAUUCUAAAGGCCAAAGCCAUGCUUACAAGAAUUAGUGGCAAUGAUUUCAUUGCAAAGGAAGUUCCCUGUCAUUGGCUCUAUGGACUUCAAUACCAGAAGAGAACUGAACAGCUUCAGCUCAGGUGCAGGCAAGUUGAAAAACAGAAAAAGCUGGGAGCAUGAGAUCAGGAUGGUCCACUGGUGAGAACAUCUUUCAACAAGACCCAAGUUUAUCUCCUGAAGAGCAUUUAUGCCUACACGGUAUAUUUGCUAAUAGAAACCAGGUAUAGCAAGAACCUGGUGCUAUGCUAUAUCUGGGAAGGAAGAUCCUUGUGUAAGUAAUCUGUUUUAAUCUGUAAUUUACAGUCUGCCGUACAUUGUGCCAUUACUGAUUUUUAAUAUGCUACUAUAAGUAAAAAUCACAUUCCCAGUUUUUCUUUGUUCCAGCAAAGUAAGUUGGGUGUUUCAGGGUACUGUUGCAGCUCCUAAGAUUGUCUGUUGGAGCUGUAUCUGCAGAUCUGGAGAUCUCUAAGAAUGAGUUUUUAAAAACAGUAAAAUGGAGACUCAGAUUAUUGAAUUGUUCUUCAGCUGUAGUUUUCUGUUUGCUGCUUCCUGUUUUAUUUGUUUAUUUAUUAAAUCUUUAUCCCACUUUUAAUUUUUUUUCUUGAUUUUAUAUACAGUAGGGCCCUGCUUAUACGGCGGGCUCCGUUCCGGACCCCCGCCAUAAAGUGGAAAACGCCGUAAAGCGGAACCCCAUUGACUUUAAUGGGGCGCGUCACGCGAAAAUGCCGCAAAUGGCAAAAUCAGCUUUAAAAUUGAAAACGAAAGCCGCCGCAUUAGCGGAACGCCGGGAAGCGGGGCCCUACUGUAUAACAUACUUAACAUACAAAACAAACAUUUAUGUUACCAAGGUGAUACAUUAUACAGCAGGAUAUUUGUGUUCCACAUAGUAUCUACAUAGUAUACUACACAUAUUCAGAAUAGAUACAAGUGUCUUCAUUAGGUAGAAUGGAACUGAGGAAAUCCGAUUAUUGUUAAUCUAAGAGAGCCAGUGUGGUGUAGUGCUUAAGGUGUUGGACUACGACCUGGGAGACCAGGGUUCGAAUCCCCACAUAGCCAUGAAACUCACUGGGUGACCUUGGGCCAGUCACUGCCUCUCAGCCUCAGAGGACGGCAAUGGUAAACCCCCUCUGAAUACCGCUUGCCAUGAAAACCCUAUUCAUAGGGUCACCAUAAAUUGGGAUCGAUUUGAAGGCAGUCCAUUUCCAUUUCAUUGUGAUGGUAGCGUUACAUCAUUACCAGAUCUAUUAUACAAAAUAAAGCUCAUCCACUCCACACCAAACUUAAUUUUCAUCUCGGUUCCCCUGGCUAGGAAUAUUUUAAGAUAUUCCAGAUCUUUUUGAACCAGGAGUCUUUUGUGUUCCCUGCCAUGUUUUUCCAGAAAGGGGCAAUAGUUAAUUUGGCUGCUGUCAAUAUGUGACUGAUCUGUAUAAACCAUCAUUUAACAAACCAAGAUACCAAAAUCCUACUCCCUCAUGCACACAUUGGGGAGGAGGAAAAAUUGUUUGUUACGAUGUCAAGAUUUGCAGAACUUGAAAGAUGCACAUAGGCCCUUUUAACUGGCACACUGGUAUUUCCGUUCCUCUGACAGAAAAUGAGUAAAAAAAACCCUAUUUUAGAAUGGAAUUGUGAGUUUUUCACCCUAAUUUCAGUAUUCCAUCUUCCCAGUUGGUUUGACAUGUAAACCACAGAAAAAAUUAAACAGGCAGGCUAAACCAUUUUUAAAAAGCACCCAAUAAACUUGCAGACUGAUCCAUGUUCGCUCAGUCAAAUUUCCCUGAAUUCAGUGAAAUUUGAGAGUAAAUAUGCACCUAAGCAUAAUAACAUUAGACAGUCUGACAGCACAAUCCAAUGCUUAUCUGCUCAGAAACUGAUUUUAAUAUUCCUAGGUAAGUGUAUAUAGGAUUGUACCUUAAGGCUGUAAUCUUAUGCAAAGUGAAGUAUCAUGGAAAUUGGUUCAGCAGUAGUGGCUGCUCAGCUCCAAGUUUUCCUGGAUGAAUCGGAUUAUCUAGACCCUUUUCAAUCAGGCUUCAGGCCUGGUCAUGGGACAGAGACUGCCUUGGUCACCCUGCUUGAUGACUUACACCAUACAUCAGACGAGGGGAGUGCAUCCCUGUUGGUGCUGCUGGACCUCGGUUGCCUUCAAUAAGAUCGACCAUGGUAUCCUUCUGGGCCGUCUAGCUGGGAUGGGAUUGGGAGGCACUGUUUUACUGUGGCUGCGGUCCUACCUAAUGGACAGGACCCAGAAAGUGGUGCUGGGAGACUACUGCUCAGCUCCUUGGCCUGUGGGGUACCGCAAGGUUCCAUUUUGUCUCCCAUGCUCUUUAACAUUUAUAUGAAACACUGGGAGGGGUCAUCGGGAGAUUUGGAGUACAAUAUCAUCAGUGUCCUGAUGACACUCAGCUCUGUCUCUCCCUACCACCUGAUUGCAGGGAGGGAGUGCUCAUUCUAAACCAGUGCCUGGAGGCUGUGAAGGGCUGGAUGUGGGCUAACAAACUGAAACUUAAUCCAGACCAGACGGAAGUACUGCUGGUCAAGGGGAAAACUACACCAGGGACGGGGUUGCAACCUGUUCUGGAUGGGGUUGCACUCCCCUUGAAGGAGCAGGUCUGCAGUUUGGGAAUCCUGGAUCCUACCCUGCUGCUUGAAUAUCAGGUGGCUGCGGUAGCCAGGAGUGCUUUUGGCCAACUCAAACUGGUCUACCAGCUGCGUCCAUUCCUGGAGGAAGUUGACUUGGCCACAGUGACACAUUCAUUGGUGACAUGGAGGCUUGAUUACUGUAAUGCCCUCUAGGUGGGGCUGCCUUUGAAAACAGUUCGGAAAUUACCGUUGGUUCAAAAUGCAGCAGCCAGAAUGUUAACUGGAGCACAGCACAGGGAGCAUAUCGCCCCUGUGCUUUAUCGACUCCACUGGCUCCCAAUUUGCUUCUGGCCCCAAUUCAAAGUGCUGGUUCUGACCUUUAAAGCCCUAAACAACCUUGGACCGAUGUACCCGAGGGACCGUUUACGCUCAUAUGUACCUGCCCAGGAUUUAAGAUCACCUGCCUCUGGUCUCCUCUGCAUGCCUGGAGUGAAAGACGUUAAACUGACAGGCACGCAGGAGAGAGCUUUUUCAGCUGUGGCCCCCAAGCUCUGGAAUACCCUACCCCAAGAAGUCUGCACUGCUCCCUCCCUGUUGGUUUUCCAGAGACUUCUGAAAACGAUCUUUUUCCGGAGAGCCUUUGGGAGGGACUGAAGGUAGAGCCUGACACUGAUUUUAUGCCUUCUAUGUUAAAUUUUACCUUUGUGGUUCCUUUAGUACCACUUCCUCUGUCUCUGUGUGUGUGUGUGUGUGUGGUAUUUUAUGUAUUUUAAUUGUAUUUUAUGUAUUUUAAUGUUUUUGUGAUUUUACUGUUUACAGUUUUAUUAUGUAUGUGUUUGAUUUUAUUUUUGUAAGCUGCCCUGAGUGCCCUAUUAUAGGGUAGAAGGGCAGGAUAGAAAUAUUUUAAAAUAAAUAAAAAAUAAAUGCAUUAUUUGAUUUAUAUCCCACCUUUCCUCCCAGCUUUGGAACACCCUACCCCAAGAAGUCUGAUCUGCUCGCUCCCUAAUGGUUUUCCAGAGACUUCUGAAAACGAUCUUUUUCCAGAGAGCCUUUAGGAGGAACUGAAGGCAGUCUCCUCUCCUUCAUCCUUGAAGUUGUAACUAUCAGAAAUUGUUACAGGACUCUUUAUGUCCUUUACUACAGUAGAGUACCUGAAAAAACAGACCCUUGUCAUCCGUACUCCAAAUCCUGCCUCUUGUGACGCUACUGACAAGAUGCUUUCAUCUUCAGGAAGAGUUUCAGUUUCAUCUUUUGCUCUUCUGAAGAAAAGCCCAAAGAGAAGCUGGUUGAUGGAGUCUAUAUUUAAUGUUUGUGAACUAGCUGCUAUUCUGCUGAGAAGCCCCUAUGAACCCUCACAAGUUAAAGAUACAGAGAGGAUAUGAAGCCUCCAGCCUCUUCUGCAGCUCUUCCAGGGACAGAUCCCUCUUCUUGGGAGGAGAGGAAAGGAUUGGGCUCUCAGGGGACAAGUCAGAAGGUGACUUCAGAAUCACUUCAAAGCUCUGGCCAGAAGCCCUCUUGUCCAGCUGCUUGACUUCCAUAUCUGAGCAAGAGGAACACAGGCACCAAAAGGAUUAAGGGACAUGGCCUGUAGUGUCAAAUAAGGCCCUGAAAUUGGCAAAACCGGCCCCCUUCUUGUGAAUGCACAGGAUUGAGGGUUCUUCCUUUUUCCCCUUUACCUGAAUCUAUUCUGAGUCCUUACAGGUUAGAUGUUAGCUCACUUAAGCUUGCAAGUUUCCAAUAGCAGUUGUCUGAAUGUUUAAUGGUUAGAGACCCCACACAAAGAUUCUUGGGUCUUGGGGGGCAUCAGGAAAAUGAAUGGGGAACCAGACAACAGAAUAUUCAUCUCAUAUGCUAUUUAUUACUGUCUUACCCACUACAGCUAUUAAAUGCACUCUAGGUGGCUGCAGCCAUCAUAUCAGAAUCAGAAAAUAAGAAUAUCAGAAUAAGAUAUGUUGCUGUAUACAUUUAGUAUAUAUCAAAGUGUAGAAUCUGGAAAGAACAAAACCUAUUAGGUUACAGUAUUACACUGAACAGAGUCCAGACUCAAACUCUUGCAACAGUACAUAAUCAUACCGUUUCACAGUACAGUACAUAACGUUUCACAGUACAUAAACAUAUAAUAUGAUAUAUAAUGUGAUAAUAUUAUCUCUCACCAUCAGCUGACGUGGAUGGAAAAUAAAACACCUGCAGCUCUUCUACUAGUCUCCAGAAAGACUGGUACAGUACCCCAAGAGGUAUGGCUUUUUGUAUGUUUUCUUAUCAG
Long non-coding RNA from Rhineura floridana, 6412 nucleotides. RefSeq lists it as uncharacterized. Lineage: Eukaryota; Metazoa; Chordata; Lepidosauria; Squamata; Rhineuridae. The record is from RefSeq and is a predicted model, not a curated record. The transcript is spliced from 4 exons.